UAAUACCCGAUAUGCCGAGAGGUGAAACUUAUAUGGCCAGAGGAUGAGCUCGCGUCUGAUUAGCUAGUUGGUGGGGUAACGGCACACCAAGGCGACGAUCAGUAGCUGGUCUGAGAGGAUGAUCAGCCACACUGGGACUGAGACACGGCCCAGACUCCUACGGGAGGCAGCAGUGGGGAAUUUUCCGCAAUGGGCGAAAGCCUGACGGAGCAAGACCGCGUGAGGGAGGAAGGCCUAUUGGUUGUAAACCUCUUUUGAUAGGGAAGAAGAGAGUGACGGUACCUAUCGAAUCAGCAUCGGCUAACUCCGUGCCAGCAGCCGCGGUAAUACGGAGGAUGCAAGCGUUAUCCGGAAUUAUUGGGCGUAAAGCGUCCGUAGGUGGUUAUUCAAGUCAGCUGUCAAAGGAUGGAGCUUAACUCCAUAAAGGCAGUGGAAACUGUGUAGCUAGAGUGCGAUAGGGGCAAGGGGAAUUCCCAGUGUAGCGGUGAAAUGCGUAGAUAUUGGGAAGAACACCGGUGGCGAAAGCGCCUUGCUGGGCCUGCACUGACACUGAGGGACGAAAGCUAGGGGAGCGAAAGGGAUUAGAUACCCCAGUAGUCC
This 600-nucleotide ribosomal RNA is filed under the name uncultured Oscillatoriales cyanobacterium. RNAcentral describes it as "bacterial SSU rRNA". It matches the Rfam family "Bacterial small subunit ribosomal RNA", at positions 164 to 796 of the family's 1533-position model. Lineage: Bacteria; Bacillati; Cyanobacteriota; Cyanophyceae; Oscillatoriales. The record is from RNAcentral.